GAGUUUGAUCCUGGCUCAGGAUAAACGCUGGCGGCGCACAUAAGACAUGCAAGUCGAACGGAAGUCGUUAUAAAACAGAUUGAAGAUUUAUCUGAUUGAAGUUUUAUAACAAUGGCUUUAGUGGCGGACUGGUGAGUAACGCGUAAGCAAUCUACCUAUUAGAGGGGAAUAACAAUGAGAAAUCAUUGCUAAUACCGCAUAUGCCAUAGGAACCACAUGGUUCUAGUGGGAAAGGAGCAAUCCGCUAAUAGAUGAGCUUGCGUCUGAUUAGUUAGUUGGUGGGGUAACGGCCUACCAAGACGACGAUCAGUAGCCGGACUGAGAGGUUGAACGGCCACAUUGGGACUGAGAUACGGCCCAGACUCCUACGGGAGGCAGCAGUCGGGAAUAUUGCGCAAUGGAGGAAACUCUGACGCAGUGACGCCGCGUAUAGGAAGAGGUUUUCGGAUUGUAAACUAUUGUCGUUAGGGAAGAAAAGGACAGUACCUAAGGAGGAAGCUCCGGCUAACUACGUGCCAGCC
RNAcentral lists this ribosomal RNA (521 nucleotides) under uncultured bacterium. RNAcentral's name for it is "bacterial SSU rRNA". It matches the Rfam family "Bacterial small subunit ribosomal RNA", at positions 9 to 513 of the family's 1533-position model. The record is from RNAcentral.